GACGAACGCUGGCGGCGUGCUUAACACAUGCAAGUCGAACGGAAAGGCCCUGCUUUCGUGGGGCGCUCGUGUGGCGAACGGGUGUGUAACACGUGUGUACCCUGCUCUUGACCUUGGGAUACCUUCAGGAAACUGUGGCUAAUACCGGAUAGGAGCUCCUGCGGCAUGGGGGGGGUUGGAUAGUUUCGGCGGUUGGGGAUGGACUCGCGGCUUAUCAGCUGGUUGGUGGGGUAGUGGCUUACCAAGGCUUUGACGGGUAGCCGGCUUGGGAGGGUGACCGGCCACAUUGGGACUGGGAUACGGCCCGGCCUCCAACGGGAGGCAGCAGUGGGGAAUAUGGCACAAGGGGCGGAGGCCUGAGGCAGCAAGGCGGGGGGCGGGUUAACGGCCUUGGGUUGGUAACCCGCUUUCGCCUGUGACGAGGCGUUAGUGACGGUAAUGGGUAAAGAAGCACCGGCUAACUACGUG
Molecule: ribosomal RNA, 468 nt
Filed under: uncultured bacterium
Lineage: Bacteria
Description: partial 16S ribosomal RNA
Rfam family: Bacterial small subunit ribosomal RNA
Source: RNAcentral